This 448-nucleotide ribosomal RNA is filed under the name uncultured bacterium. RNAcentral's name for it is "bacterial SSU rRNA". It matches the Rfam family "Bacterial small subunit ribosomal RNA", at positions 329 to 792 of the family's 1533-position model. The record is from RNAcentral.
CCCCAGACUCCUACGGGAGGCAGCAGUCGGGAAUAUUGCGCAAUGGAGGAAACUCUGACGCAGUGACGCCGCGUAUAGGAAGAAGGUUUUCGGAUUGUAAACUAUUGUCGUUAGGGAAGAAAAAAAGACAGUACCUAAGGAGGAAGCUCCGGCUAACUACGUGCCAGCAGCCGCGGUAAUACGUAGGGAGCGAGCGUUAUCCGGAUUUAUUGGGUGUAAAGGGUGCGUAGACGGGUAUACAAGUUGGUUGUGAAAUCCCUCGGCUUAACUGAGGAACUGCAACCAAAAUUGUAUAUCUUGAGUACAGGAGAGGUAAGUGGAAUUCCUAGUGUAGCGGUGAAAUGCGUAGAUAUUAGGGGGAACACCAGUGGCGAAGGCGGUCUGCUGGACAGCAACUGACGCUGAGGCGCGAAAGCGUGGGGAGCAAACAGGAUUAGAUACCCGAGUA